AUUGAACGCUGGCGGCAUGCCUUACACAUGCAAGUCGAACGGCAGCACGGGAGCAAUCCUGGUGGCGAGUGGCGAACGGGUGAGUAAAGUAUCGGAACGUGCCCAGUCUGGGGGAUAACGUAGCGAAAGUUACGCUAAUACCGCAUACGAUCUAUGGAUGAAAGCGGGGGAUCGCAAGACCUCGCGCGAUUGGAGCGGCCGAUAUCAGAUUAGGUAGUUGGUGGGGUAAAGGCUCACCAAGCCGACGAUCUGUAGCUGGUCUGAGAGGACGACCAGCCACACUGGGACUGAGACACGGCCCAGACUCCUACGGGAGGCAGCAGUGGGGAAUUUUGGACAAUGGGCGCAAGCCUGAUCCAGCAAUGCCGCGUGCAGGAUGAAGGCCCUCGGGUUGUAAACUGCUUUUGUACGGAACGAAAAGGUUUCUAUUAAAUACUAGGAGCUCAUGACGGUACCGUAAGAAUAAGCACCGGCUAACUACGUG
RNAcentral lists this ribosomal RNA (484 nucleotides) under uncultured bacterium. RNAcentral's name for it is "bacterial SSU rRNA". It matches the Rfam family "Bacterial small subunit ribosomal RNA", at positions 30 to 507 of the family's 1533-position model. The record is from RNAcentral.